Non-coding RNA from Durio zibethinus, 1568 nucleotides. NCBI's taxonomy places the organism in Eukaryota, Viridiplantae, Streptophyta, Magnoliopsida, Malvales, Malvaceae. The record is from RefSeq and is a predicted model, not a curated record.
GUGGAACUGUGACUGAUUUACACUUGUGAGAAUAACAGUUGCAGCAACGCUUUCCACAGUAUGUGCCUAGUGGACGGGUUGCAUUCUAUCACAAUGAAAAGGCAUUGAAAAUUGUUUGGUUGCUGUGGCAUUUCCUGCUGCUGGAAUUGGGCUACCUAUCUGCUCGAAUGAUCAAUCCUGCAAACAAUUUCAACUAGGUACUGUAGUACAACCUGUGAUGAGAGGGGACCCACAUGAAAGUUGGAGGGGCAAUAUAGAUUGGAUGUAAUGUGGAUGUCUUCUGGGAUUUGGAUGCAUCUGCAAUUUUUACCAAGCUGUUAAAGGCACAAAUACAUUGUCCAAUAAAUUAUUGGGGCUACUUUCACCGGAAAAGGUUGAAUAGCGUUAAGGUUUGAUAAGUUGAUGACAAAGAGCUUUUUUGCUUUUCAUUUUUGUGUCAAUUUACAGGUGACUCUUUCAGUUAUUUGAUUCAGGGUACAGUCUCUCCAUACAUUGUAAAUCGGAUUGGCUUCCAAUAUUUCUCAUUGCUUGUGCAUGCCCCUCAUUUUUAUUAGCUGAUUUGCAGAUUUGUGUUAUGUUAUUAUAUUUUUCCUCCUUCCAAACACUCGAAAUAAAAGUUUCCCAAGGAAUUGUUCAAAUUUAUCUUAACAUUUUGAGAUGUGAGAUUAUCUGCAAUUAGUUUAUGAAAAAAUAUUAGCGGAAACUGAUCUUCAAUGCUGUUGAAAGGCUAAACUAGCACUAGGCGUCUUUUUCACUUCAUAUCAUACCACGUUUACCAUUGGGUUUCUCUUUCUUUUUCCUUGGCAACUUGGUUGUUUAAUUUAUGGUUGUUCGCUUGUGUUGCAGGUCAUUCAAUGUUCAGUUUGGUCAUUGUCCGUACUGUUCAGAGCCAGUUGCAGUCAAAAUCAAUACCACAAAGAAUUAGAGAUUUUAUUAGUUCUUACCAAAGAUCCCAAGCUGAUUUAUCCUUCUCAGAGAUCCUCUCAUUGAGGGGAAGAUUAAAAUUAUAGGAGCCUGUGAAUUUCGUAAUGGCCAAAGCAGCUAAACUUCUGAGGUGAGGCACCAUAAACUCUAAAAGAUUAAAGCUUCUUUUGUCCACGCAGCUACUGAAAAUCCAUUCCAUUUUGCUGUAAUGAAGAGCAUUAAAACAGGACUAACAGUUUCAGAGAAUCCAAUGUAGGUUUGUGCCCACUUGUACUCAACUGUUUCAUUUACUGUGACUGGUGACCAACAAUGACUUGUGGCUUUCUCUUUAUUAUUAUUAUUUUUUUGGAGAACAAUUUCCAUCUCUGCACUUGAUUUUUUUUUGAAGUCAUGUUAGAAUCUGAUUGAACGGGAAUGGAGUUGCAGAUGAUAUUGCUGCUUUGCUGCUGCUUCACAGUUCACUGGAUGGUUUCUGCUUUCUAGUACUAAUGGGGUCGUGCCAUGAUUUAUUUGGGGCCCUGGACAGUAAAUCGUAGUAAAUACACCUAUAAAAUAAAGGUAGUUGGCUGGCUCUCCCCAAGUUGUAUAUGUAUUUGAAUAUAUCAUAUGUUAGCAGCUACCAUGAAAUUACAAAUUUACAACUC